AAACUUAGUUUGUUCUGUAGGAAAUUUUAUUUUUUGCUUUAAUGCCAAAAAUUGUCCUUAACACUCCUAUCUACUUUGUAGUUAGCUCCCUUCUACCCAUUAGGUAUUUGGGAUGUCACAAGAAAACCUUAUGAUGUGAGUAUGGAUGGCAUAAGCCACUCUAAACACAACCUAAGCCAAGGAGAGAAAGAGAUGGAUAGCCAUGGGAGUUUCAUAGGCAACUAAGAGAAAAAGUAUCCAUAGGCAGCCAAGGAAGCUUCAUGGGCAGCCAAAAGGGAAGUUUAGGCGACCAAAAGAAGAAUAAGGCCCACUAAAAAGAGGAGACUUGUGACCAAGAAGGAU
Molecule: long non-coding RNA, 342 nt
Filed under: Carica papaya (papaya)
Lineage: Eukaryota; Viridiplantae; Streptophyta; Magnoliopsida; Brassicales; Caricaceae
Description: long non-coding RNA (CPAP_LNC013067)
Source: RNAcentral